RNAcentral lists this transfer RNA (72 nucleotides) under Aspergillus avenaceus. It matches the Rfam family "tRNA". From Rfam's summary of the family: Transfer RNA (tRNA) molecules are approximately 80 nucleotides in length. Their secondary structure includes four short double-helical elements and three loops (D, anti-codon, and T loops). The record is from Rfam by way of RNAcentral. Lineage: Eukaryota; Fungi; Ascomycota; Eurotiomycetes; Eurotiales; Aspergillaceae.
GGGCCUAUGGUUUAGUGGUAUAACGCUUGAUUUGCAUUCAAGAGGUCCCGGUUUCGAUUACCGGUGGGUCCA